RNAcentral lists this ribosomal RNA (297 nucleotides) under Klebsiella pneumoniae. RNAcentral describes it as "partial 16S ribosomal RNA". It matches the Rfam family "Bacterial small subunit ribosomal RNA", at positions 1100 to 1397 of the family's 1533-position model. The record is from RNAcentral. Lineage: Bacteria; Pseudomonadati; Pseudomonadota; Gammaproteobacteria; Enterobacterales; Enterobacteriaceae.
AACCCUUAUCCUUUGUUGCCAGCGGUUAGGCCGGGAACUCAAAGGAGACUGCCAGUGAUAAACUGGAGGAAGGUGGGGAUGACGUCAAGUCAUCAUGGCCCUUACGACCAGGGCUACACACGUGCUACAAUGGCAUAUACAAAGAGAAGCGACCUCGCGAGAGCAAGCGGACCUCAUAAAGUAUGUCGUAGUCCGGAUUGGAGUCUGCAACUCGACUCCAUGAAGUCGGAAUCGCUAGUAAUCGUAGAUCAGAAUGCUACGGUGAAUACGUUCCCGGGCCUUGUACACACCGCCCGU